Molecule: transfer RNA, 74 nt
Filed under: Saprospiraceae bacterium
Lineage: Bacteria; Pseudomonadati; Bacteroidota; Saprospiria; Saprospirales; Saprospiraceae
Also listed under: 3 other names
Description: tRNA-Arg
Rfam family: tRNA
About the family: Transfer RNA (tRNA) molecules are approximately 80 nucleotides in length. Their secondary structure includes four short double-helical elements and three loops (D, anti-codon, and T loops).
Source: RNAcentral
GGCUCCAUAGCUCAAUAGGAUAGAGCAACGGUUUUCUAAACCGUAGGUUCCAGGUUCGAGCCCUGGUGGAGUCA